RNAcentral lists this non-coding RNA (187 nucleotides) under unclassified sequences. RNAcentral's name for it is "malK-I RNA". It matches the Rfam family "malK-I RNA". The record is from RNAcentral.
AAAUACGGUGCCGGACGACUCUACAUUCUUCGUUCGGCAAUCGUAAAAAAAGGAGGCAAUAAUUAACCCGUAUCGGUUCGCGGUGCAGCAGUGUGGAGACCUGUUGUAAUACCUUCGCCACAUAUGCGGGCGCGGGUGAGCUGCGCAGUUAGCGGAUGCUGUGCGCGGCAGAGCCGGAGAUAUGGCA